GAUGAACGCUGGCGGCGUGCCUAAUACAUGCAAGUCGAGCGGACAGACGAGGAGCUUGCUCCUCUGACGUUAGCGGCGGACGGGUGAGUAACACGUGGAUAACCUACCUAUAAGACUGGGAUAACUUCGGGAAACCGGAGCUAAUACCGGAUAAUAUAUUGAACCGCAUGGUUCAAUAGUGAAAGACGGUUUUGCUGUCACUUAUAGAUGGAUCCGCGCCGCAUUAGCUAGUUGGUAAGGUAACGGCUUACCAAGGCAACGAUGCGUAGCCGACCUGAGAGGGUGAUCGGCCACACUGGAACUGAGACACGGUCCAGACUCCUACGGGAGGCAGCAGUAGGGAAUCUUCCGCAAUGGGCGAAAGCCUGACGGAGCAACGCCGCGUGAGUGAUGAAGGUCUUCGGAUCGUAAAACUCUGCUAUUAGGGAAGAACAAAUGUGUAAGUAACUAUGCACGUCUUGACGGUACCUAAUCAGAAAGCCACGGCUAACUACGUG
RNAcentral lists this ribosomal RNA (497 nucleotides) under uncultured bacterium. Its description in RNAcentral is "partial 16S ribosomal RNA". It matches the Rfam family "Bacterial small subunit ribosomal RNA", at positions 28 to 507 of the family's 1533-position model. The record is from RNAcentral.